CAGAAUUUAAGGAGACGAGGGAAAGUGAGCGACAGACGAAGGGAGCGAGCCGUAGGCGACGGGUGGGGGGUGGAAGGAGGAACUGAGCGAGAGUCUCCGUGAGGAGCGGAGCUCGCACGGCCGCCUGCCCGUCCAGCCGUGAGGAGCAGGAAACGUGGUGGAGACAGAGGAAAAAGGAGUCACCAUCGGGAGGAUGCCCCACGCAGCUCAUCGCUCAGACCGCAGUAAUAUAGAAACACAGAGUGACGGAGGAGGACGUCCGGACUGGUGAUCCACUGCGGUGUGUAGCACUGCCCCCUCGUGGCCGCGGGGAGACACGGCGGGCUGUGGUGUGCUGCCCCCUGGUGGCCGCGGGGAGACAAGGCGGGCUGUGGUGUGCUGCCCCCUGGUGGCCGCGGGGAUACACGGCGGGCUCUGUUGUGCUGCCCCUUGGUGGCGACGGGGAGACACGGCGGCUCUCUGCAGGUAGGCACUAACGAUGCACUGUUCCUCCCUCCGGACUCUAACUACCUCAGUGCCUGGUGUGAUGCAUGCUAGGAUAUGGGUCUGCUCGCCAUAGGGCCUCUGAGGGUCAGAACCAUCAGAACGAAAACCAUCAGGACCAGACCGGGCUACACCAGACCCAUCAGAACCAGACCGGGCUACACCAGACCCAUCUGGACCAGACCGGGCUACACCAGACCCAUCUGGACCAGACCGGACUACACCAGAACCAUCAGGACCAGACCGGGCUACACCAGAACCAUCAGGACCAGAUCAUUUAUUUAUUUAUUUAUUUAUAUAU
Long non-coding RNA from Gadus macrocephalus (Pacific cod), 784 nucleotides. RefSeq lists it as uncharacterized. NCBI's taxonomy places the organism in Eukaryota, Metazoa, Chordata, Actinopteri, Gadiformes, Gadidae. The record is from RefSeq and is a predicted model, not a curated record. The transcript is spliced from 3 exons.